Molecule: non-coding RNA, 990 nt
Organism: Pelecanus crispus (Dalmatian pelican)
Lineage: Eukaryota; Metazoa; Chordata; Aves; Pelecaniformes; Pelecanidae
Source: RefSeq, a predicted model, not a curated record
GCUGCGAAAAGAAGCCCUGGGCAGCAGUCUCAUGAGUUCCAGGAACUGAAGCAGAAGUCCUUAAAUAAAGAUUUUAUUUUUGUUUAGCAAUCAGUGCAAGUGCUUUGUAGCGCAAGAGCUUUUUAUAACAAUCAGGGUACAGCAAUCGACAGCCCUUCUAGCCAGCUGCUCUUUCACCAGAGGUACUUUCCAUGCAGGAAACCUGAUCUUCCAAUCGUGAUUUACAGUACACUCACUCGGCAUUGAUUCAGUCCUUGAUUUCUGUUCUGUACAAUGCAGACAUUCCUUUCCAUGCCUUUGCUAAAGCCAGCGAUUCUUUCAUGUAUUCUACUUGAAUUUCUCUGAAGCAGCUAUGAAGAGUGCCCUGCAUUAGGGCAUUUAGAAAGCAAAGCAAGUUAACUGGACGCCGUCUUGUACUAAUACACUGUACAGCAGGUAAUGUGUUGUACUGCUGAAUGUAAAUGUGUCAAAUCUGCACGUGACUUACCUAUAAAUAUAUUCUUGCGGUAUGCAAUUGCACAUUGUAAUUAUAUUAAAAGAGCACACUAAUAAAAUCAUUUGUAUAGAUUAUAUAUAUUAAAUGCUUGGGUAUGGUUUUUACAUUCUGCCAUAGGGAGUGUCUUUCUUCCUGUUCUCAUACUGUACAUAAAGCUCCAACGCUUACGUUUGUGUACAGUCAAAAAGCACAACAGAGAAGGAUUUGGAUGACGAAUAAUCAUAGUAUGCUUCCACGUUCAUAUAUUAAUGUAUAUAGUUGAUUGGAAUGAGGGCAAUUGAAAUUUUAUUAAUAUUGGUUCCUUCCUCAGUUCUGUCUGCAUAUUAGCUUCCUUUCAAUGUGUAAUUCUAUGAGAAAAAUAGUUCGACAUCUGUAAAAACAUUUCAGCUUUUGAGGGAGGGGGUGCAAAUUUCAUGGCUACUCACAUUACAGGUUGAAGGGAUUUUAUCAUAUGUAUAUUUGUAACAAUAAAAAACGAUUUUACAACUGAAAUA